Molecule: long non-coding RNA, 427 nt
Filed under: Nicotiana tabacum (common tobacco)
Lineage: Eukaryota; Viridiplantae; Streptophyta; Magnoliopsida; Solanales; Solanaceae
Description: long non-coding RNA (NTAB_LNC008391)
Source: RNAcentral
UUGAAGGCCCGGAAAUUACAGAACUUCUAUUGAAUGAAUACAGAAAUGCCACAAACAUGACAGAUCAGUUUUCAGCUUUGGUGGCUAUUGAUCAGCAACCUGCAAUUCGUGAAGAGAUUUUGGCUGAUUUCUACAACAAGUGGCAGGAUGACUUCUUGGUAACAUCUCUAUGCUUCUAUUGCCUGCACCUCGACCUGAUAUCAUCUUUGGGCCCCAUAAAAGGAAACCUGCAAUUCUCUUGCGUUAGGACUGAUUGUCCUCCGGCCCUGUUCUUGCCUUCGAAUUGUUGAUUAACCUCCUUGUAACUUAAAUUAUUCAUCUCUAGUUUCAAUUAAACAUGUGGUAUUACAUUGCAUGUUUUGCAGUAUUGUAGUGAUAUGAACAAGAUAAGCUUGAACAAAUCUUUGUCUCGCUCUUUUUUCCGUAG